Molecule: ribosomal RNA, 924 nt
Filed under: Arthrobacter sp.
Lineage: Bacteria; Bacillati; Actinomycetota; Actinomycetes; Micrococcales; Micrococcaceae
Description: bacterial SSU rRNA
Rfam family: Bacterial small subunit ribosomal RNA
Source: RNAcentral
UUAUUGGGCGUAAGAGCUCGUAGGCGGUUUGUCGCGUCUGCCGUGAAAGUCCGGGGCUCAACUCCGGAUCUGCGGUGGGUACGGGCAGACUAGAGUGAUGUAGGGGAGACUGGAAUUCCUGGUGUAGCGGUGAAAUGCGCAGAUAUCAGGAGGAACACCGAUGGCGAAGGCAGGUCUCUGGGCAUUAACUGACGCUGAGGAGCGAAAGCAUGGGGAGCGAACAGGAUUAGAUACCCUGGUAGUCCAUGCCGUAAACGUUGGGCACUAGGUGUGGGGGACAUUCCACGUUUUCCGCGCCGUAGCUAACGCAUUAAGUGCCCCGCCUGGGGAGUACGGCCGCAAGGCUAAAACUCAAAGGAAUUGACGGGGGCCCGCACAAGCGGCGGAGCAUGCGGAUUAAUUCGAUGCAACGCGAAGAACCUUACCAAGGCUUGACAUGAACCGGUAAGACCUGGAAACAGGUCCCCCGCUUGCGGUCGGUUUACAGGUGGUGCAUGGUUGUCGUCAGCUCGUGUCGUGAGAUGUUGGGUUAAGUCCCGCAACGAGCGCAACCCUCGUUCUAUGUUGCCAGCACGUGAUGGUGGGGACUCAUAGGAGACUGCCGGGGUCAACUCGGAGGAAGGUGGGGACGACGUCAAAUCAUCAUGCCCCUUAUGUCUUGGGCUUCACGCAUGCUACAAUGGCCGGUACAAAGGGUUGCGAUACUGUGAGGUGGAGCUAAUCCCAAAAAGCCGGUCUCAGUUCGGAUUGGGGUCUGCAACUCGACCCCAUGAAGUCGGAGUCGCUAGUAAUCGCAGAUCAGCAACGCUGCGGUGAAUACGUUCCCGGGCCUUGUACACACCGCCCGUCAAGUCACGAAAGUUGGUAACACCCGAAGCCGGUGGCCUAACCCCUUGUGGGAGGAGCUGUCGAAGUGGGACUGGC